CGGAUGCCUGUGGACCAGACACAGAGGCAGGGCAGUGGGAAGAUGGAGGGAAAUCCAGUAGAAAUGGGGCUCGUGGGAAGGGCUUCUGGCAAGAGACGAUGCCCUUCCAGAAUCCUCAAAGGCAAAAAGAACUGACCAAGCAAUGGCAGUCAGAAAAGCAGGGAAUAGGCAACAAAGGAAGUCAGUAUAGCUUGGAAUUGAACACAGCCCAACAGCAGACCCAUGACGUACUUGAUGAGCCCAACAAAAGAGGAGAUGGUGGCACCAGAUGAGGAAGGUUGCCUCCACCUUCACAGCUGAGCUGGCGUCAAAUGCAUGUCAGGCCAGUGAGAUGGCUCAUCUCAGUUAAAGUCUGUCUGUCUGUCUCUCUGUCUCUCUGUCUAUCUCUCUCUCUAUCUAUCUCUCUAUAUAUCUAUAUCUAUAUAUCUAUAUCUAUAUCUAUAUAUAUUCAUAUUCUUUUAAUUACAUCCUAACUAUGUAGAAAGUUCAAGGCCUGCCAAGGCAACAAGAGACCCUGUCUCAAAAGAAAAUGUGUGUGUGUGUGUGUGUGUGUAUAUAUAUAUACACACAUAUAGUACAUAUUUUAUAUCACAUAUACACACAUGUAUAAAAGAAACUAAAAGUGCUAGCUAUAUCCUAAACAUGCUGAUACAUGACCCUCAGUUUGCCAAACAGCAGCCAAUGGGAAAAUGGAUGGACUAUUUCAAUAAGAGAGCAAACAAGAUCUAAAGCCCCCCUCCCCCAAAGCUCAAAGAAUAUUUGAGCUGAGCUGAUUUCAGCUUGGAGGCUAAGUAGGAAUUUUAAAACACGGGGGUGGGGGGCUCCUUCCAGACAGAGAAGCUUCCAGGCUGGCGUGGGUGUGUGUGUUAAGCGAUUGGACCAGGCCCAGGAGACUAGCCAGUCUUUGGAAGGCAAGCUUCAGAGGCUCUGGGAGCACAAGGAUUAGUUUAAAAGUCAUGUCUAUCUUGUUAUAAGAACAGGGACUGUGAGAAAGAGAAACAAUAGACGACCUAGCGAACAGUGAAGGGGAGCAGCGGGACCAAUUUGGAAGAGUUGAGACUGCAGGAUCACCUGUAGGAGAAGGAGCGAACACAGGUGUGGUUGACCCUCUGGGUUCAUGAAAGAAACCAAUACCAAGUAUGACCAUACAGUCCACACAGCCUCCUGCAUAUUUUCCUGUAGUUCAGGACAGCCUUGAACUCACCAUGGAGCCAAAGAUGACCCUGAAGUUCUGAUACUCCUGUUUGCACCUCCCCGGUACUAGGAUUGCAGGUGUGGGGCACCAUGCCUGGUUGUGUGCAGUGCUGGCAAUGAAGGCCAGGACGCUAUGCAUGCAUCCUUCCAACUGAGUUCCGGCCUUUCCCACAUCCUUUCCAUCACAUGGAGACAUCUUAAAAUGCAGAGCACAGUGUGGGGCUGGAGAGGUGACUCAGAGGUUAAGAACACGGGCUGUGGGCUGGAGAGAUGGCUCAGUGGUUAAGAGCACCUGACUACUCUUCUAGAGGUCCUGAGUUCAAUUCCCAGCAACCACAUGGUGGCUCACAGCUAUCUGUAAAGAGAUCCGAUGCCCUCUUCUGGUGUAUCUGAAGACAGCUACAGUGUACUCAUAUAUAAUAAAUGAAUAAAUCUUUAAAAAAAAAAAAAAGAACACGGGCUGUUCUUCCAGAGCAUCCAGUUGUGAUUCCCAGCACCCCCAGGAUGGCUCACAACCAUCUGUAACUUGUUCCAAUCGCUUCUCGGCCUUUUGGCUAAGAUCAAGUGUAACUUGUUCCAGCUACAUUCCCCAGAACAAAGUGGCUCCUGAGACUAGUCACAUGGGUGAGCUUCCCGUUUGAUUGAGAGACGAUCUCAGUGAAAUAAGGUGGAAGAGAAAUUGAGGAUGACUCCUGACAGCAACUGCAGGCCUUUGUGUGCAUACACAUGUAUCCUCCUUACGUGUGCCCACAGUGUAUAUUACAUAUUCUUAACCAUCCCCUCUGUCCCUCCCUCCCUCCCCCCUCAUAUCCUGGAGAAUGAGCUCUCCUGCUUUAGCUUUCGGGAGCCCCUCCCCCCCACACUAAUGGAUAGUUACAGUGUAGAUCUAAUGGUGGUUCUUCACACUUGAAGAACCCAUACUCAAAGCCAGCACUCACACAGCAGCAAGCCCUUCUCUGGGAAGCCUUCCUGCCUGUCUGCCCAGGGGUCCAAACAUCUGUAUCUCCCUGCUAGAGCUGUUUCAUUCAUACAUCUGGCUCCUACCUCCCCUGCCAAAGAUGUGAAGAAGGGGGCAGUGGCUUCCUGAAACUCAGUCCUGCUGACCUAGUGGGUCCUCACAGCAGAGACACCACCCGGGGCAUUUUUGUAAUACUGAAGAUUCAGGAGUUCAAAGUCAUCCUUAGCUACCUAACAAGUUUGAGCCAACCUGGGCUAUGGGAGAUCCUGUCUCAAAAGUACACAACCAAAUGACUUACCCACUAAGUCAAAGUUUUCUCCUAAAAAUGUGGCCUGGGCCUCUCCUUCUGCUGUCACUAAUAUCCUGACACCUCCUUAGCGCGAGUGUAGGCCAGAACAGAUAACCUCUGUGUUUUCUCUGUGUGGCCACAAGCUGACUUUUUUCAGUGAACGUCAAGAAGUAUUUUGUGAGCACCUUUUAUGUUCAAAGCAAGGUAAAUAAGCCAUGAGGGGAACUGUUGUGAGAGGGCAGAGGACAUGCCCAAGCCAGAUGGGGAGGUGAGCCGGGUUUUCAGGGAAGGGGUGCUCGCUGUAUGGGAGGCCCAGGUUCUGCCCCUUACCCUGUCUUUCCUGCCCUUCUUCAUGACAAAUCUCAGAGCGUCAAUCACCUGUUUGAGAGGCCUACAGGACCAUCUUUGGAGAAACGGGUUUUGGAACCAGCAGAGGCCUAGCUGAGAAGCUGUCCAGAAUUUUAAACCAGAAUUUUUAAAUAUUGUCAUUAAAGUGGGUGUCGUUAAAGUCAGAUCAGCUCUAUCAAAAUUAAGGCGCUGAACAUUUCAAGGCUGUCGCUGACAAUGUUGGGGACAAUGAGAAGGCGGGGCUUUGGUCCACACUGAGGGAGAGCUGGCAGACCAAGGGAACCUUGACCUGACAUGCUGUAAAUCUGUGGUUCUCAAACUGUGGUCACCACCCCUUUGGGGUUUGAACCCCUUCACAGGGGUCACCAAAGACCAUUGGAAAGCACAGGUGUUUACAUUAUGAUCCUAACAGUAGCAAAAUUACAGUUACGAAGUAGCAAAAAAAAAAAUUUAUGGUUUGGGAUCAGCACAACAUGAAGAACUUUGUUAGAGGGUUGCAGCCUUAGGAAGGUUGACAGCCAUUGCUAUAAAGGAAUGUCCCUAGCCUUCAGCUGUCAGAACAAAGGGGGGUAGAAUCCUACAGAGUGACCAGUGGGAUCAGCCCAGUCAAUGGUCACUGACAUCUACACUGCUACCGAAAGCUUCCUGCAGCUGUGGUUUGUGUCACAGACCCUGUGCACCACACGCUGAGCCAUUAACAGUACCCUUCCCUGAAACUUAAAAGUGGCCCCAAGGUUCCCUGUGAGGAUUCUAGUUGUCUGCACUUUAUGGAUGGAGGCUUCAGGCUAUGCAAAGUAGAGGAUUGUGGAAGCUCACAAGCCCAGGCUGUCUGGCUGGAGCUCUGUUUUUAGUCACCUGGUUUCCUCUGCUCAGCUCGUGGCAGAGCAGACAGGAGGUGCAAGGAUGCCUAAGGCAGACUUCUUCCCAGGACUGCUGUAGAAACAGCUACUCAAAUCAGAGUCUAAGGUCAACUGUGGUGCUGCAGAGGAAGGAUCUAGGUCACCAGAAUUCAUGGGCCGGUGGUCCUGGGUGGGUCGUCCUGGGUGGGUAAUACACAGACAACCUGCAACUUGAAACCUGACGAACAGGAAGGAGUAAUUGGGGCUGGGUGUGGCCCACUGGCACAACACUUGCCCAGCUCCUUAGAUGAAGGGAAACGGACUUUUUGGUAAGAUGGGGGGAGCUAUC
Rattus norvegicus (Norway rat) is the source of this 3977-nucleotide non-coding RNA. The record is from RefSeq and is a predicted model, not a curated record. NCBI's taxonomy places the organism in Eukaryota, Metazoa, Chordata, Mammalia, Rodentia, Muridae.